UUAAAUAAAUAUGAAGUAGAAGAACCCAGAUUCCAAAUGAACAAAUUCAAACUUGAAAAGGAUCUUCCUUAUUCUUGAAGAAUGAGGGGCAACGGGAUUGAUCAAGAAAGAUCUUUUGUUCUUCUUAUAUAUAAAAUCGUGAUUGGAUCCGCAUAUGUUUGGUAAAGAGAAUAAUCUUAUCCUUUGAGAAUAAUAAAAAAUGAACA
Molecule: long non-coding RNA, 206 nt
Filed under: Nicotiana benthamiana
Lineage: Eukaryota; Viridiplantae; Streptophyta; Magnoliopsida; Solanales; Solanaceae
Description: long non-coding RNA (NBEN_LNC018247)
Source: RNAcentral